Molecule: ribosomal RNA, 106 nt
Filed under: Homo sapiens (human)
Lineage: Eukaryota; Metazoa; Chordata; Mammalia; Primates; Hominidae
Source: RNAcentral
GUCUAUGGCCAUACCACCCUGAAAUGCACUAGAUGUCAUCUGAUCUCGGAAGCUAAGCAGGGUCGGGCCUAGUUAAUACUUGGAUGGGAGAAAAUAUGUUCAAACU